GUCACCAGUCGCUGGGGGGUCUCCGUUCUCCAGGCCGUCGCCCGGGGUCCCUGUCAUGGAGUCCCCAGGCGAUGCUCUGGAACUGCUCCCCACAAAGCCAGUCAGGACUUUGGGGAGCCUCCUCUCCCUCGGAGCAGACUGUCUUCAGGGCAAGAAGCUCACACGGCUUCACCUCCUGGGUCUGAGCUUGGAGCAUUCAGCUUCUGCCCCUCCGUGCGCUUCCCACAGCGAGUCCGCCCGGGCGGGGUCCUGGGGCAGCCAGAGGGUCCUGCACCCCCACUUCGCAGUCAGAUGUGACUCUCAGCCAGCCAGUAAAACAGAGCUUUAUUAGAUGACAGGAACACGGUCUAACACAGAGCUUGUAGGUACAGCGAACGGGACCCCCUCCGCUGGGUCCAUUCUGGGGCCCAGCGUGGCAGAUCUGCCCUCCCUUCCAGUCCCCAGAUAGCUCCAAACUCCCGUCCAGCCCCUCCUUCUCUGGGCUUUGUCUCUUUCCCGGGCCAGGAGGUCCCCUGUUCCCUUUGUCUCCAACACCUUCAGUUGGCACCUUUCUGCAGCAACCAGACACCCUUAUCCCACCCCCUAGAUACUUAAGAACUGCAUAGGGGAAACUGAGGAAAACAUUAAGAACAGUCCCACUUCGUCACAGUCCCAAAUUCCCUCGCUGGGCCUGUGUCCCAACAAACUCCCUCUCCCCUCCCUCGUUAAACCAGGGACACUGAGUCCCACCCCCGCGGCGUGCAAACCAGUGACAAAACCCAGAGAACCCCCCCACACACUUCAUUACAGCGAUUGUGGGACACUGGCCCAGGCGCUUGUGUUCUCCACCGGGCGUCACUGACACCCAUUCAGCUACCGAGCGUCUCGUCCUGCCCGUUGGUUCCUGUCUUCACCCAGCUCCUCUCCCCCAUGGCGUGGGGUCCAGCCGCGCUUCUCUGACAGGCCAAUACUGAUCCAGGAGGCAGAUUUCCCUGUCCAAAGCCCCAGCAAACUGUGCUGCACUGUGUUAAAACCAGCGUCAUGUCAGCCACAUACCGCAGGGACCAGUCCUGCCACUUCCUAGCCUGGGCAAGUCAUUGAUUUGUCCCGACCCUCGGCCUGAUCCCACUGCAUCUUUCCUCACCGUGACGGGUUUGUGCCUUGCUGGGCGGGGCAGUGUCUGAGCCUCUCACGUUAAGUCUGAGCCACUGUGACAGUGUUUUUACACCAACAACAAGGAGUCUGGUGGCACCUUAAAGACUAACAGAUUUAUUUGUUUUUACACCGUGUCCAUGCAGCUGUUUCACUUGUGUGCCCGUGGGAGGCAGCUGAGAUCACUCAAUCGAACAGACAAACCCCGAACGCUGAGAUUUACCAAACCAGCUUCUGUAGGACCUCACUGGUUACUCCGAAGUCCAAACAGCGCCGUUCCCUUAAAGUGGCCACAAUGAUAACGUAAAUCUUACCCAAAAUAUACGCUACAGCCAAUUCUUAUUAACUAAGCUAACAUUGAUUAGAAAAGAAAAGCGAGAGAGAGUUGGUUGAAAGAUCAAUGUACAGACAGACUUGAGUUCAAUUCUUGAGGUUCAGACACAGCAGAGAUGAGCGUGUAGAAACAGUCCAGAGGUUACAGGCCAAUGUCCGAGCAGAUCUGACAUGAAGCAGGAUCGUCUUAGCUACAGGUUACUUCCUUCACAUUAAUAUUCCUUUUUUGAUCUUUGAAUCAAAGCUGUAGUAAUAGACAAGACUUGUUUGCUCCCAUCACAAGCCCUGAGCAAACCGCUCCCCUUCUCUCUCUAACAAUGCGGCUGCAUUUCAGAGCUCUGUUCGGUCACAGAUCUUCCUAGCCAGUCACUACAGUUCGGCCCUGGGUCCGGUCAGUAAUUAACUCUUCCUGGCCCUGUCACCUUCCACUGAGAUAUAAUGUCACAUCGGCCUCCCCUCGCAGGGCCCAGGCAGGGGGAAAUCCCAACAGCUCCACACUCCUUGUUCCACGGGGUGGGGCCGUCAGUCAUCGUCCACCCCAGCUCCUACCUGCACAUCACCAGGGCAUGGAGUGCCUCCUGCCAUUGCUACUGGUCCCCUGAGCAUUGCGGGGGGGGGCUGGCUGUGUGUCUCUGGAUUUCCGGCUCUUUCCUGCCAUGCAGCGACACCCACCUCUGACAGGUGCUGUCUGUCCUCCUGCAGUUCCGGGACCCAGAGCACGGCGAGUGGUUUGGCUACCUGGCGCAGGACGGGAAGGUGGCGCUCACCAUCAAGGGGGGACCCUUCAAGGGCUGCUUCCAUGUGCCACGGGCCCUCUACAUGUGCGAAGAGAUCCUGGAGAAGCUGCUGCAGGAGCCCUAGAGCCACCCUUGGGUGCUGAUAAAUAAAGUGACUUUUAUUCCUGGGACCCCAUUGAAGAAUUUGGGGUGGGGAAAUCAGGGACUGUGAUGGUGUCUACACAGAGAGGUGGACGAGGCUUUCUUCCAGCAACUAGCAGAAGUUAUAGAUCGCAGGCCCUGGUUCUCAGGGCAGACAAUCUAGGAAAUUGUUUGGAAGAACCAACUAGGGACAGAGCUUUUCUGGGCCCCUUACUGAAUGGGGGAGGUAACUAACCUAGUGACAAAAGCUAAUUGCCUUCUAUGCCAAGGGUCGGUCCUGGGGCUGGUUUUGUUUAGACACCAUGUACUGCUAGGGGGGUCACAGUGGAUGACCUUGGUGCCAAGGGGGCAUUGUUUUAUUUGACAUAGGUGAGGCCUACACCUAAUAACAUUUUGGGCCACACACUACAAGAAGGAUGUGGAAAUAUUGGAGGGUCUGGAGCACAUGAGAGGUGUUGUACUUAAAGUACUGCACAGGAUCCAAAAGAACAACCAUUCAACAUCAACAGGGCAAUUGAUUAAGGGGGGGGGGGGGGGAGGAGAGCUCUUGUUCUACUGCUAGCAAAAAGAAAAUUUUCUUCUAUCUUAUGCUCUCCUUAGGGCUAUAAUAUUCAUAGAGUCUAGGACUGGAAGGGACCUCGAGAGGUCAUCGAGUCCAGUCCCCUGCCUGCUAUCAUGUCCCCCUCUCAGUCUUCUCUUUUCCAAACUAAACAAACCCAAUUCCUUCAGCCUUCCUUCAUAGGUCAUGUUCUCAAGACCUUUAAUCAUUCUUGUUGCCUCGUGUCUUGCUCACCACACACCUGUUAAUACAUUCCAGGAUCAUCGUA
This is a long non-coding RNA of Malaclemys terrapin pileata, 3169 nucleotides long. RefSeq lists it as uncharacterized. The transcript is spliced from 2 exons. NCBI's taxonomy places the organism in Eukaryota, Metazoa, Chordata, Testudines, Emydidae. The record is from RefSeq and is a predicted model, not a curated record.